UGAUUGGUGCUUGCAUCAUGAUUUACAUUUGAGUGAGUGGCGAACUGGUGAGUAACACGUGGGAAACCUGCCCAGAAGCGGGGGAUAACACCUGGAAACAGAUGCUAAUACCGCAUAACAACUUGGACCGCAUGGUCCGAGUUUGAAAGAUGGCUUCGGCUAUCACUUUUGGAUGGUCCCGCGGCGUAUUAGCUAGAUGGUGGGGUAACGGCUCACCAUGGCAAUGAUACGUAGCCGACCUGAGAGGGUAAUCGGCCACAUUGGGACUGAGACACGGCCCAAACUCCUACGGGAGGCAGCAGUAGGGAAUCUUCCACAAUGGACGAAAGUCUGAUGGAGCAACGCCGCGUGAGUGAAGAAGGGUUUCGGCUCGUAAAACUCUGUUGUUAAAGAAGAACAUAUCUGAGAGUAACUGUUCAGGUAUUGACGGUAUUUAACCAGAAAGCCACGGCUAACUACGUGCCAGCAGCCGCGGUAAUACGUAGGUGGCAAGCGUUGUCCGGAUUUAUUGGGCGUAAAGCGAGCGCAGGCGGUUUUUUAAGUCUGAUGUGAAAGCCUUCGGCUCAACCGAAGAAGUGCAUCGGAAACUGGGAAACUUGAGUGCAGAAGAGGACAGUGGAACUCCAUGUGUAGCGGUGAAAUGCGUAGAUAUAUGGAAGAACACCAGUGGCGAAGGCGGCUGUCUGGUCUGUAACUGACGCUGAGGCUCGAAAGUAUGGGUAGCAAACAGGAUUAGAUACCCUGGUAGUCCAUACCGUAAACGAUGAAUGCUAAGUGUUGGAGGGUUUCCGCCCUUCAGUGCUGCAGCUAACGCAUUAAGCAUUCCGCCUGGGGAGUACGGCCGCAAGGCUGAAACUCAAAGGAAUUGACGGGGGCCCGCACAAGCGGUGGAGCAUGUGGUUUAAUUCGAAGCUACGCGAAGAACCUUACCAGGUCUUGACAUACUAUGCAAAUCUAAGAGAUUAGACGUUCCCUUCGGGGACAUGGAUACAGGUGGUGCAUGGUUGUCGUCAGCUCGUGUCGUGAGAUGUUGGGUUAAGUCCCGCAACGAGCGCAACCCUUAUUAUCAGUUGCCAGCAUUAAGUUGGGCACUCUGGUGAGACUGCCGGUGACAAACCGGAGGAAGGUGGGGAUGACGUCAAAUCAUCAUGCCCCUUAUGACCUGGGCUACACACGUGCUACAAUGGAUGGUACAACGAGUUGCGAACUCGCGAGAGUAAGCUAAUCUCUUAAAGCCAUUCUCAGUUCGGAUUGUAGGCUGCAACUCGCCUACAUGAAGUCGGAAUCGCUAGUAAUCGCGGAUCAGCAUGCCGCGGUGAAUACGUUCCCGGGCCUUGUACACACCGCCCGUCACACCAUGAGAGUUUG
This 1368-nucleotide ribosomal RNA is filed under the name Lactiplantibacillus plantarum. RNAcentral describes it as "bacterial SSU rRNA". It matches the Rfam family "Bacterial small subunit ribosomal RNA", at positions 70 to 1414 of the family's 1533-position model. Lineage: Bacteria; Bacillati; Bacillota; Bacilli; Lactobacillales; Lactobacillaceae. The record is from RNAcentral.